This is a long non-coding RNA of Rhincodon typus (whale shark), 621 nucleotides long. RefSeq lists it as uncharacterized. The record is from RefSeq and is a predicted model, not a curated record. Lineage: Eukaryota; Metazoa; Chordata; Chondrichthyes; Orectolobiformes; Rhincodontidae. The transcript has 3 exons.
CGCCCCCUCCGCUUGCCAGCCCGGGACAGCGCAACAGGGAGUAAUUGGUGCUGGAGAGAGUCAGUGUGCGCGUGGCGUACUGCUGCUGGAGAAGGUGGAGGCAGAAAUUAGCAAGGCAAAUAUUGGGGAGAUCAUAUCUUGUGGUCGAGAGACCCCAGCAGAUGUCAAGCAGAGCAGCAGAGAAGGAACAAGAAGGAAGGAAGGAAGAUGCCAGCUGCAGCCGAAAGGUGACUGCAGAUGUAAACUGUGGCCAUCCAGGAGAGUCCUGUAUCAAGGCGUUGCACACCGAAACAGAGUCAGGGAAAUGAUCAUGAGAUGCUGAGUACUCUUCAUCCUCACAGCAGGAAGCCAUCUCCAACAGAUAUGUUUGUAUUUUAACCUUCCAGCGAUAUUAAGCAACGAGUUAAAAACUGACUGUAGCACUGGCCUCCUGUGCGUUAAUGGCCUGACUUACUAGUGUCUGGAAUAGUGUGCUGUGAAGAUCACGACUUUAGAAUAGCUAUUAAACACCCUUGCACUGCGGCUAAAGAAAAGGGAAAAGACAUUCUAUAACUCUUAGUGCUGCCAAUGAACCACCAUAGAAAGGAAUUGGGACAAAAGAAUUUAAAUCAAACUACAAAG